RNAcentral lists this ribosomal RNA (520 nucleotides) under uncultured bacterium. Its description in RNAcentral is "bacterial SSU rRNA". It matches the Rfam family "Bacterial small subunit ribosomal RNA", at positions 56 to 620 of the family's 1533-position model. The record is from RNAcentral.
UGCAGUCGCACGGGUGGUUUCGGCCAUCAGUGGCGGACGGGUGAGUAACGCGUAGGAACGUGUCCAGAGGUGGGGGACAACCCCGGGAAACUGGGGCUAAUACCGCAUGGGGGCUGAGGCCCAAAGCCGAGAGGCGCCAUUGGAGCGGCCUGCGUCCGAUUAGGUAGUUGGUGGGGUAAAGGCCUACCAAGCCUGCGAUCGGUAGCUGGUCUGAGAGGACGACCAGCCACACUGGGACUGAGACACGGCCCAGACUCCUACGGGAGGCAGCAGUGGGGAAUAUUGGACAAUGGGCGAAAGCCUGAUCCAGCAAUGCCGCGUGGGUGAAGAAGGUCUUCGGAUCGUAAAGCCCUUUCACGGGGACGAUGAUGACGGUACCCGUAGAAGAAGCUCCGGCUAACUUCGUGCCAGCAGCCGCGGUAAUACGAAGGGGGCUAGCGUUGUUCGGAAUUACUGGGCGUAAAGGGCGCGUAGGCGGCGGCCCAAGUCAGGCGUGAAAUUCCUGGGCUCAACCUGGGGA